RNAcentral lists this ribosomal RNA (253 nucleotides) under uncultured bacterium. Its description in RNAcentral is "partial 16S ribosomal RNA". It matches the Rfam family "Bacterial small subunit ribosomal RNA", at positions 524 to 776 of the family's 1533-position model. The record is from RNAcentral.
UACGUAGGGUGCAAGCGUUAAUCGGAAUUACUGGGCGUAAAGCGUGCGCAGGCGGUUUUGUAAGUCUGACGUGAAAUCCCCGGGCUCAACCCGGGAAUUGCGUUGGAGACUGCAAGGCUUGAAUCUGGCAGAGGGGGGUAGAAUUCCACGUGUAGCAGUGAAAUGCGUAGAGAUGUGGAGGAACACCGAUGGCGAAGGCAGCCCCCUGGGUCAAGAUUGACGCUCAUGCACGAAAGCGUGGGGAGCAAACAGG